Molecule: long non-coding RNA, 1208 nt
Organism: Astatotilapia calliptera (eastern happy)
Lineage: Eukaryota; Metazoa; Chordata; Actinopteri; Cichliformes; Cichlidae
Source: Ensembl
CGCAUAAGUGAUGGUGGUUUUUACUUUAGUGCGAACAGCUCAUAUGAAUUUCAAAGCAGUUCUACAGUCCAACACUGGUCUCUCAAUCUCCCGUUGGAGAGCCGCGAGCUUCACCAUACUUACGUUCUGUGAUGUUGUCAUUUCUUGUGCUCAAGGAGCCGAUUCUGAGAACUCACGGCUAUUCCGAGCUAGCCCUUCCGAGAUGUAUCCAGUCUGCAGUCAGAGAUCUUAUUCUGAGUAUUCACAGCAGCCGUAGCCUCUCCAAGAUCUUAUCCGUGCUGCGCUCAAUGAGCCCAUUUUGAGAAACUCACGCGUCUCCCAUCGUUUCAAUCCCAGUGGGCAGCCUUGUGGGGGUUUGAACAGCCGGUUCCGCUUUCUUAAUUCUUUGAUAAGUCAGGGCCAAGCCAGCUCCGAUCAGCCAGAACCCUGUUACCAUGGUUCCGAAUAGGUAGAUAUCUUCAGCACUCAGGCUCACCCAAGCCCAAACUUCUCGUUGAGAAGGGGUGUCAAUUGCAUUCAGAGACCAGUUGAUCCAAUCCAUAAUUCCUCUUUUAGGUUUUAAAGAACAGAAUGUGAGAGAGUGUUCCAGGGAAAAGUAAUACAAAAAACACGAGACUAGACAAGGACAUAAGAGGAUAAGCAGGGAAGCUAAGGGAGAGGAGGAGGAGGAGAGGAGAAAAGUGUGACCGCCUUCGUCAAGAGCAGAGACUUUGAGUUUGACUCUGUAAAACGUGACAAAAAAAAAAAAAAAAAAACAUAAUCACCCGCUGUUCACUGCGUGGGAAGAAAACUUCUUUUUACAACAACCCCCCAAACUUCCGUGCAAGCACCGAGUACUCUGCCACGGGAAUGUGAAAUUCACAGAGAAACUCCCAGAUUCUUCCACUGACUGCUGUGACACACCUGCACCAGGGCAAACAUCCGCCUGCCCCACUCCUGCUAUACAGAUGAAAAUAGAGCAACAGGACCACCGAGUCUUUGAUUUUAUUUAGUUUCUGCUGUGUUUUACUUGCAUCUAUUGGAAAGAGUGAGUGUAAACAAAAAAAAAAAACUAAGGCAAGGCAAGGCAAGGCAAGUUUAUUUGUAUAGCACAAUUCAACAACAAGGUGAUUCAAAGUGCUUUACAGAGACAUUAGAAACAAGAACAAAUAAAAAGCAUGAUUUAAAAUUGAUUAAAACAAGCAAAUAAACUAACUAACUAAUUAACA